RNAcentral lists this ribosomal RNA (253 nucleotides) under uncultured bacterium. Its description in RNAcentral is "partial 16S ribosomal RNA". It matches the Rfam family "Bacterial small subunit ribosomal RNA", at positions 524 to 776 of the family's 1533-position model. The record is from RNAcentral.
UACAGAGGUCUCAACCGUUGUUCGGAUUCAUUGGGCGUAAAGGGUGCGUAGGCGGUCGCGCAAGUCGGAUGUGAAAUCUCAGGGCUCAACCCUGAAACUGCAUUCGAUACUGCGUGGCUAGAGUGCUGGAGGGGAGACUGGAAUUUACGGUGUAGCAGUGAAAUGCGUAGAUAUCGUAAGGAAGACCAGUGGCGAAGGCGAGUCUCUGGACAGCAGCUGACGCUGAGGCACGAAGGCCAGGGGAGCAAACGGG